AGAGGUUAGAGUAAGGUGUGAGGGGCCUGGUGGGACCAGGGGUACAGAGGUUAGAGUAAGGUGUGAGGGGCCUGGUGGGACCAGGGGUACAGAGGUUAGAGUAAGGUGUGAGGGGCCUGGUGGGACCAGGGGUACAGAGGUUAGAGUAAGGUGUGAGGGGCCUGGUGGGACCAGGGGUACAGAGGUUAGAGUAAGGUGUGAGGGGCCUGGUGGGACCAGGGGUACAGAGGUUAGAGUAAGGUGUGAGG
Molecule: long non-coding RNA, 248 nt
Organism: Oncorhynchus keta (chum salmon)
Lineage: Eukaryota; Metazoa; Chordata; Actinopteri; Salmoniformes; Salmonidae
Exons: 3
Source: RefSeq, a predicted model, not a curated record